ACAGUAGUUCAAAUGGCAAUGCAUCUGUCCAGUAAACAGACGGUAGCCAGUUCGAUUCCGGCUUACUGUG
RNAcentral lists this transfer RNA (70 nucleotides) under Fasciola gigantica. Its description in RNAcentral is "tRNA-Thr". Lineage: Eukaryota; Metazoa; Platyhelminthes; Trematoda; Plagiorchiida; Fasciolidae. The record is from RNAcentral.